UAUGAUUACGUGCUAUUGCUUCACUCUAUUUCUAGUUGAUUUAUUUUUGGAAGUACAGAAGCUUCAAGUUUGGAGGGCCGAAUUUCUAAUGAGGAGGGAACAGAACUGCUGCGUUUAGCUCCAAGUUUCCUGCAUUAUGAACGACGAGAAUGGCCUAAUGUAAGAACUUUGGUUCUUGCGUUGGUAUCUGUUCAGAAGGAUGUCAAGUCUCCAUCUUACAAUCUGAUGGAUAAACCCCAUGAUGGUGCAUUUACCUUUUGGUCGAUCCAUCUUUCACCUCUGCACCAGAAAGGACCUUACUGCAAUAUGUGGAAUUCUAGAGUCAACUGGCUAGAGAUGAUGAGGGAACUGCAAAUGAGGGUGGUUCUAAGAUCCGUGAAGCUUAUCUCAUAUUCCAGGACAUUUUUGCGGAUGCUGAAACUGUAUUCGCGGCUCAACACCUGCAUCCCAUGGAUUUGCCUUCUCUGAAC
Lolium rigidum is the source of this 470-nucleotide long non-coding RNA. RefSeq lists it as uncharacterized. NCBI's taxonomy places the organism in Eukaryota, Viridiplantae, Streptophyta, Magnoliopsida, Poales, Poaceae. The transcript has 3 exons. The record is from RefSeq and is a predicted model, not a curated record.